GCAGGCACUGUGGGAAGGUAGGUGCGUGAGUGUGAGCAGGGGCGGCAGGGCCACGGGUUGGGGGCCAGGACUGUGGGAAUUGUCCACAGCCUUUCUGGAAUCAAAACACUGGCAAAUGUCAAAAAGUGCGUAAUUUGUUUUACUGAAACAGGCUGCUUAUUUAUGUUUGGAAGGCCGGCUUCAAGGACCCGUCUGGGCCCUCCUUAGAUGAUAAUGUCAACAGAAACACAAACAGAUGGGGGGUGGGGUGGUCUGGGGGCUCCUCGGAAUGAAGUGCAGACAGGAAUUCGGGCUGGUCGCAGGCAGAGAAACUCCACGUGACCCCUACUCUCUGGACCUGGCCACUGCGGUGAAUGUUCCCAGCUGAGUUCCAGAACCUGCAGAGAGCUGAUCGGAUCCAGCCCAAGAGAACCGGAAGGGGGUGGGCUGUCAUUUAUCCCGUGUUCCCUCAGCCUGAUGGGCGGUAGCUGGGGUGCAACCCCCCACCCCCAUCCCGACCCCCAGGGUGGCCGUGGAUUCAGGCAAGGCCCUGCCGCUGUGGCCGCGGCUUCUCUCGCUCCCUCCCUCACCCCAGAUGGUGUGGCUGAUGCUGUCCCUCUGUGUCACGCCGUCAGUGAGGUACUAUUUUCAUGUUCGUGGACGGACGAGGAACCUGAGGCACAGUGCGUCUGAAUAGCCCGCGCGAGGUCUCCCCCUGCUGGGAUUAGCUCGUAACCUGCUUUUCGCGCAUCCAGUUGAGAAUGUGUCUGAUGGCACAGAAGAAAGAUCAGCAGCACAAAGCCACCGAACACUUCACAAUGAUGACGCGAGUGCAUUUUCAAGAAUAACCCAUCUCAAAUUCUGUAGCGGGGCGCCUGGGGCGUUCGGUGGGUUGAGCGUCAGACUCUUGACUUCGGCUCAGCUCCCGAUCUCAAGGUGGCGGGACCCAGCCCCACGUGGGGCUCUGCUCUGAGGGUGCAAAGCCUGCUUGGGGUGCCCACUCCCUCCCUCUCUGCCCCUUCCCCGUUUGCUCGUGUGCACACACACUUGCACACAAUCCCUUUCUGUAAAAUAAAAGUACAAUUUAAAAAGUUGUGUGGAACGUCCCCUUCUCUGAGUUUGGUUAAUUGAUGGGAACGUGCUUAUCGCGAGAGGCACAUAAUAAAGUUACACGCCCGACACCAGCUCGAACUCUGGGAACAUCUAGUUCGGGGGUGAUACG
This is a long non-coding RNA of Acinonyx jubatus (cheetah), 1201 nucleotides long. RefSeq lists it as uncharacterized. The record is from RefSeq and is a predicted model, not a curated record. The transcript is spliced from 3 exons. Lineage: Eukaryota; Metazoa; Chordata; Mammalia; Carnivora; Felidae.